AAAGCAUCUUAUUCGCGACAUCAUCAAUAGACGAUGUGGAAACAAUCCAUUGAUUGGAAGACCAAACAAGGUGACAACUGUUGAUAGAUUUCAAGGUCAACAGAAUGACUAUAUUCUUCUUUCUCUGGUACGAACCAGGGCAGUGGGCCAUCUGAGGGAUGUCCGUCGCUUGGUAGUGGCCAUGUCUAGAGCCAGACUUGGACUUUAUAUCUUCGCCAGAGUAUCCCUCUUCCAAAACUGUUUUGAACUGACUCCAGCUUUCAGUCAGCUCACAGCUCGCCCCCUUCAUUUGCAUAUAAUUCCAACAGAACCUUUCCCAACUACUAGAAAGAAUGGAGAGAGACCAUCUCAUGAAGUACAAAUAAUAAAAAAUAUGCCCCAGAUGGCAAACUUUGUAUACAACAUGUACAUGCAUUUGAUACAGACUACACAUCAUUAUCAUCAGACUUUAUUACAACUACCACCUGCUAUGGUAGAAGAGGGUGAGGAAGUUCAAAAUCAAGAAACAGAAUUGGAAACAGAAGAAGAGGCCAUGACUGUUCAAGCUGACAUCAUACCCAGUCCAACAGACACCAGCUGCCGUCAAGAAACUCCAGCCUUUCAAACUGACACCACCCCCAGUGAGACAGGAGCCACUUCCACUCCAGAAGCCAUCCCUGCUUUAUCUGAGACCACCCCUACUGUGGUAGGAGCUGUAUCUGCACCGGCAGAAGCUAACACACCUCAGGAUGCCACAUCUGCCCCGGAAGAGACCAAGUAGCCAAACUGUAGUCCUUCUAAAGGAGGACAUGGCAGUCAAAAAGUCUGAGUAAAGCUGUUUUUUGUAUUUUAUAUUUGCUUCUGCCAUUUUACUGUCACUAAUUAAUGUUUAGUUCUUAUAUUUGUUAACUGAUUUCGGUGUCUUGAAUAUAUUUUUUUAAAUUAUGUGUAUGAACAAUUCUAGUUUCAUUUGUUCAAUCAGAAGAGCAAAUAACCAUUCCUUUCAUGUUUUGAUCACUGAGUGUGUCUGUAAUCAUACCUACAUUAAAAUCAUUUU
This 1036-nucleotide long non-coding RNA is filed under the name Homo sapiens (human). Its description in RNAcentral is "long non-coding RNA NONHSAT171440.1". The record is from RNAcentral. Lineage: Eukaryota; Metazoa; Chordata; Mammalia; Primates; Hominidae.